This 233-nucleotide long non-coding RNA is filed under the name Gallus gallus (chicken). The record is from RNAcentral. Lineage: Eukaryota; Metazoa; Chordata; Aves; Galliformes; Phasianidae.
UUUCUUAGACCUUCCUAGCACUUUGAUACUAGAAAAACAGCCGUUGUCAGAUACCUUUAAAUGAAAUAAGGUAGUAGCACAGACACUGCACUUCAAAAUGCACUUGCAACCUUAUCAGUAUUUGUGUGUGUCUCAUUCUGCAUCUGAUGGGAGACUUUAAAGCUGAUGGCAGUAAGAUGAAAACAAGCAGCUUUAUAGAAUGAUGUUAACUGGCACUUUAGAAGUAAGUAGAG